UCUCGCGGUGAGCGCACGUCAAAAUGCAAGUUUGAANAAGCACCUCAUAAAGGUGCCGGGGNUU
RNAcentral lists this transfer RNA (64 nucleotides) under Pachydactylus boehmei. Its description in RNAcentral is "partial tRNA-Cys". Lineage: Eukaryota; Metazoa; Chordata; Lepidosauria; Squamata; Gekkonidae. The record is from RNAcentral.